CAAGGGAUAGUUUAUAAAAAUAUUAGUCUUGGAUACUAAAGAUGUUAACUAAUUGCUGCCUUGA
This 64-nucleotide transfer RNA is filed under the name Pleurocryptella fimbriata. Its description in RNAcentral is "tRNA-Pro". The record is from RNAcentral. Lineage: Eukaryota; Metazoa; Arthropoda; Malacostraca; Isopoda; Bopyridae. RNAcentral also lists the same sequence under 1 other name.